AUCCAGCUAACGUGUCCCAAAUAGGACGAAACACGCGUCAAACUACAU
This is a non-coding RNA of Schistosoma rodhaini, 48 nucleotides long. Lineage: Eukaryota; Metazoa; Platyhelminthes; Trematoda; Strigeidida; Schistosomatidae. The record is from Rfam.